UUUCGAAUCAUUCACAAUGGGCGAAAGCCUGAUGGUGCGACGCCGCGUGAGGGAUGAAGGUCUUCGGAUUGUAAACCUCUGUCACUAGGGAAGAAACGCUUCAAGUUAACAGCUUGAAGCCUGACUUAACCUGGAGAGGAAGCAGUGGCUAACUCUGUGCCAGCAGCCGCGGUAAUACAGAGACUGCAAGCGUUAUUCGGAUUCACUGGGCGUAAAGGGUGCGCAGGUGGCCAGGUGUGUGAGGCGUGAAAGCCCGCUGCUCAACAGCGGAAUUGCACCUCAAACUACUUGGCUAGAGCAUUGGAGAGGGGAGCAGAAUUCACGGUGUAGCAGUGAAAUACGUAGAUAUCGUGAGGAAUACCAGAGGCGAAGGCGGCUCCCUGGACAAUAGCUGACACUCAGGCACGAAAGCGUGGGGAGCAAAAGGG
RNAcentral lists this ribosomal RNA (428 nucleotides) under uncultured bacterium. RNAcentral's name for it is "bacterial SSU rRNA". It matches the Rfam family "Bacterial small subunit ribosomal RNA", at positions 355 to 776 of the family's 1533-position model. The record is from RNAcentral.